This 497-nucleotide ribosomal RNA is filed under the name uncultured bacterium. Its description in RNAcentral is "partial 16S ribosomal RNA". It matches the Rfam family "Bacterial small subunit ribosomal RNA", at positions 28 to 507 of the family's 1533-position model. The record is from RNAcentral.
GAUGAACGCUGGCGGCGUGCCUAAUACAUGCAAGUCGAGCGAACAGACGAGGAGCUUGCUCCUCUGACGUUAGCGGCGGACGGGUGAGUAACACGUGGAUAACCUACCUAUAAGACUGGGAUAAAUUCGGGAAACCGGAGCUAAUACCGGAUAAUAUAUUGAACCGCAUGGUUCAGUAGUGAAAGACGGUUUUGCUGUCACUUAUAGAUGGAUCCGCGCCGCAUUAGCUAGUUGGUAAGGUAACGGCUUACCAAGGCGACGAUGCGUAGCCGACCUGAGAGGGUGAUCGGCCACACUGGAACUGAGACACGGUCCAGACUCCUACGGGAGGCAGCAGUAGGGAAUCUUCCGCAAUGGGCGAAAGCCUGACGGAGCAACGCCGCGUGAGUGAUGAAGGUCUUCGGAUCGUAAAACUCUGUUAUUAGGGAAGAACAAAUGUGUAAGUAACUAUGCACGUCUUGACGGUACCUAAUCAGAAAGCCACGGCUAACUACGUG